AGUGGGGAAUCUUCCGCAAUGGACGAAAGUCUGACGGAGCAACGCCGCGUGAGUGAAGAAGGCCUUCGGGUCGUAAAGCUCUGUCGUUUGGGACGAACGUGGAAUGUGUGAAUAAUGCAUUCUAAUGACGGUACCAAAGGAGGAAGCCACGGCUAACUACGUGCCAGCAGCCGCGGUAAUACGUAGGUGGCAAGCGUUGUCCGGAAUUAUUGGGCGUAAAGGGCGUGUAGGUGGAUUCUUAAGUCGUGUGUCUAAGUGCGGAGCUCAACUCCGUAUAGGCGCAGGAAACUGGGAAUCUGAGUGCAGGAGAGGAAAGUGGAAUUCCCAGUGUAGCGGUGAAAUGCGUAGAUAUUGGGAGGAACACCAGUGGCGAAGGCGACUUUCUGGACUGUGUCUGACACUGAGGCGCGAAAGCUAGGGGAGCGAACGGGAUUAGAUACCCCGGUAGUCCUAGCCGUAAACGAUGGGUACUAGGUGUAGAGGGUAUCGACCCCUUCUGUGCCGGAGUUAACGCAAUAAGUACCCGCCUGGGGAGUACGGCCGCAAGGUUG
RNAcentral lists this ribosomal RNA (551 nucleotides) under uncultured bacterium. RNAcentral describes it as "bacterial SSU rRNA". It matches the Rfam family "Bacterial small subunit ribosomal RNA", at positions 353 to 896 of the family's 1533-position model. The record is from RNAcentral.